UGGGGAAUAUUGCACAAUGGAGGGAACUCUGAUGCAGCGACGCCGCGUGAACGAAGAAGGCUUUCGAGUCGUAAAGUUCUUUUAUAUGGGAAGAUAAUGACGGUACCAUAAGAAAAAGCCCCGGCUAACUACGUGCCAGCAGCCGCGGUAAUACGUAGGGGGCUAGCGUUGCCCGGAAUCACUGGGCGUAAAGGGUUCGCAGGCGGAAAUGCAAGUCAGGUGUAAAAGGCAGUAGCUUAACUACUGUAAGCAUUUGAAACUGCAUAUCUUGAGAAGAGUAGAGGUAAGUGGAAUUUUUAGUGUAGCGGUGAAAUGCGUAGAUAUUAAAAAGAAUACCGGUGGCGAAGGCGACUUACUGGGCUCAUUCUGACGCUGAGGAACGAAAGCGUGGGUAGCAAACAGG
Molecule: ribosomal RNA, 403 nt
Filed under: bacterium
Lineage: Bacteria
Also listed under: 1 other name
Description: partial 16S ribosomal RNA
Rfam family: Bacterial small subunit ribosomal RNA
Source: RNAcentral